This is a long non-coding RNA of Capra hircus (goat), 469 nucleotides long. RefSeq lists it as uncharacterized. NCBI's taxonomy places the organism in Eukaryota, Metazoa, Chordata, Mammalia, Artiodactyla, Bovidae. The transcript is spliced from 2 exons. The record is from RefSeq and is a predicted model, not a curated record.
CUUGAUGAUGCAGAUGACCUCUGGGGCCUGGAUCCUCUUUGGCAUCUGGAAUGCCAUUGGAUUUGCCAUAUACUUUGGAUAUGGGGUCCGACACAGCUUGGAGGAGAACAAUGAGCCACCAGCCUCCACCUCCCAGACUCCGGACUAAAACACCCCUAGUGAUGAAGCAUCUUAGCCAAAGGAAAUAGAUGCUGUGUGGACCCCUCCAUACACUGGAGGUAUCCGCUGGUUCAAGGUGCACUUUGAGCCUCUAUGGACUGUGCAAGUGGAAAGCAUUUAGUGCCCUGUAUUUAUUGCCAGUGGACAAAAUGACUUUGCUAUUGUAUAAUUUUUAAGUAAACUCUCUUAAGCUUAAUAUGCAUCAGAAGAUUGCAUGCUUCAUAAGUGUGUAGUAAGAUGAAUCUUCACAAAGAAAGUAUUAUGAUGUUACUGACAACUAGAGGAAGAAAUAAAAUACUAGCCUACACAG